GACGAACGCUGGCGGCGUGCCUAAUACAUGCAAGUAGAACGCUGAAGGAGGAGCUUGCUCUUCUGGAUGUGUUGCGAACGGGUGAGUAACGCGUAGGUAACCUGCCUGGUAGCGGGGGAUAACUAUUGGAAACGAUAGCUAAUACCGCAUAACAGUAGAUGUUGCAUGACAUUUGCUUAAAAGGUGCAAUUGCACCACUACCAGAUGGACCUGCGUUGUAUUAGCUAGUUGGUGGGGUAACGGCUCACCAAGGCGACGAUACAUAGCCGACCUGAGAGGGUGAUCGGCCACACUGGGACUGAGACACGGCCCAGACUCCUACGGGAGGCAGCAGUAGGGAAUCUUCGGCAAUGGACGGAAGUCUGACCGAGCAACGCCGCGUGAGUGAAGAAGGUUUUCGGAUCGUAAAGCUCUGUUGUAAGAGAAGAACGAGUGUGAGAGUGGAAAGUUCACACUGUGACGGUAUCUUACCAGAAAGGGACGGCUAACUACGUG
This 495-nucleotide ribosomal RNA is filed under the name uncultured bacterium. RNAcentral's name for it is "partial 16S ribosomal RNA". It matches the Rfam family "Bacterial small subunit ribosomal RNA", at positions 28 to 507 of the family's 1533-position model. The record is from RNAcentral.